UACGUAGGCAGCAAGCGUUGUUCGGAGUUACUGGGCGUAAAGAGUGCGUAGGCGGUGUCGAAAGUUUGGCGUGAAAUCUCCCGGCUUAACUGGGAGGGUGCGCCGAAAACUGCGGUGCUGGAGUGUGGGAAAGGCAAGCGGAAUUCCUGGAUGUAGCGGUGAAUGACGUAGAUAUCAGGAGGAACACCGGCGGUGUAGACGGCUUGCUAGACCAUAACUGACGCUGAGGCACGAAAGCGUGGGUAGCAAACAGG
RNAcentral lists this ribosomal RNA (254 nucleotides) under uncultured bacterium. RNAcentral's name for it is "partial 16S ribosomal RNA". It matches the Rfam family "Bacterial small subunit ribosomal RNA", at positions 524 to 776 of the family's 1533-position model. The record is from RNAcentral.